AUGGCUAUGGUGGCUAAACAAAGUUGGCAUAUGAUGAAAAAACCACAUACAUUGGUUUCUAGCAUCUUCAAAGCAAUGUGGUGUAUUGGGUAUGAAAGUAAAAUUAAGAGUUUGUUACAACUUUAUCCCAACUUUGAGGUCAAAUUAACUAAACGCCAAUCAAAUUUAGUUGCCCACUCGUUAGCAAAAACGGUUAAUUCUUGGACUAGGCGUAGUGUUAUUAAUUUGAUUUCUCCUUGUAUUGAGCAACGUUUAAAUAAUAAAAUGUGUUAA
Non-coding RNA from Vicia faba (fava bean), 273 nucleotides. The record is from the annotation of a GenBank genome assembly. NCBI's taxonomy places the organism in Eukaryota, Viridiplantae, Streptophyta, Magnoliopsida, Fabales, Fabaceae.